Molecule: unclassified non-coding RNA, 272 nt
Filed under: Funneliformis mosseae
Lineage: Eukaryota; Fungi; Glomeromycota; Glomeromycetes; Glomerales; Glomeraceae
Description: partial contains 5.8S ribosomal RNA and internal transcribed spacer 2
Rfam family: 5.8S ribosomal RNA (bases 1-71)
Source: RNAcentral
GUGAAUCAUCGAAUCUUUGAACGCAAAUUGCACUCUCUGGUAUUCCGGGGAGUAUGCCUGUUUGAGGGUCGACAGAAUAAAAAAUUGUUGCGUGGCCCUUUUUUUUAAGGGUGAUCGCGUCGGAAUUAUGCUUUCUUUCGCAUGUUAAUUCAUGUCAAGGUGGCUUGAAAUUCAUCCAUCCGGUAAGAUUGUAGCGUAUUUAAGAUCAAUUUUGAUUGAGAGCGCGCGAUGUCGUACUAUUUCAUGUAGUACGUUUGAACUGGGUCAUUUGG